GGAUUAUGGCUCAGCGGUAGAGCAUCCGCCUCACACAUGCAAGGCCCUGGGUUAGAUCCUCAGCACCA
RNAcentral lists this transfer RNA (68 nucleotides) under Marmota monax (woodchuck). RNAcentral's name for it is "tRNA.Val". The record is from RNAcentral. Lineage: Eukaryota; Metazoa; Chordata; Mammalia; Rodentia; Sciuridae.